AUGGACUCUGUCCUAAACAGCGGAGAUGUCAGUAGUCGGGAAGUUGACACCGAAGAUGAACCAUUCUUCGUCGAGAACUACGAAAGUUCAGAGGGUGAAGAAAGUAAUCGGGAAUAUCACAGUGACUGUCAACAGGUUGCACGGUUCAGCAGAGGAAGGUCACCCCCGCUGCUCUUAGCUUACUCCGUCAGCUGCGGACCAGGCCUGCAGGACAGUAGCCCCAGCUUGGCUUCACAGGAACAUGAUGAGGAAGACGAGGACAGCGACCAACUUAUCGAGGAAUGGAUGAUCCUGGGAGGAGAUGAGCAGCCGGGAGACUCGAGCAUCAAGCUCAAUCUGAGCUACUGGAUCAGUUCUGAGGAGGACUCUGGAGAUGAAGAUCCAAAUGUAAAAUCAGUUAAAGAUAUGUGGGCUGUGUCAGACAAAGACAAGAUGUGCAACAGGACAGGACACAUUACCAACAGAUACUACUAUCACCAGAAAUCCUCCACUUGUAUCUUUUGUGGGAUCCAGGGCCAUCGUCAUAGAGACUGUCCAGAGAGAUCAGAGAGAAUGUCCAGGCUGCUCUGCGGACUGCCCCCGCUAUGGAACCAACACUGCCAGCGCUGUUGCAUGACAGGACACCUUUCUGAUGUGAGUUUUUCUGUUACACAUCAGGUCAGGUCAUUUGUGUCAGUAGCAUUAUUUACUGUUUGUGUGACUGUACUGCGUCGAAGAAACUCUAAAAAGCAUUGUUUGUUGAUGAAUUUAUCUGUCCUCGGGUAUGUGUGGGUUCCAUAUGUGAGCUCUUCGAUCUCUGUAAACAAAAAUGCUUUUUUCUGCAUUCUUGCUCUAAGAAGAAUUUUCUUCUCUGCUUUCUGUGCUUUCCUCAGGCCUGUCCGGAUACAUGGAGACAAUAUCACUUGA
Molecule: long non-coding RNA, 906 nt
Filed under: Betta splendens (Siamese fighting fish)
Lineage: Eukaryota; Metazoa; Chordata; Actinopteri; Anabantiformes; Osphronemidae
Description: lncRNA (ENSBSLG00000005903.1)
Source: RNAcentral